Molecule: ribosomal RNA, 468 nt
Filed under: uncultured bacterium
Lineage: Bacteria
Description: partial 16S ribosomal RNA
Rfam family: Bacterial small subunit ribosomal RNA
Source: RNAcentral
GACGAACGCUGGCGGCGUGCUUAACACAUGCCGGUCGAACGGAAAGGCCCUGCUUUUGUGGGGUGCUCGAGUGGCGAACGGGUGAGUAACACGUGAGUAACCUGCCCUUGACUUUGGGAUAACUUCAGGAAACUGGGGCUAAUACUGGAUAGGAGCUCCUGCUGCGUGGUGGGGGUUGGAAAGUUUCGGCGGUUGGGGAUGGACUCGCGGCUUAUCAGCUUGUUGGUGGGGUAGUGGCUUACCAAGGCUUUGACGGGUAGCCGGCCUGAGAGGGUGACCGGCCACAUUGGGACUGAGAUACGGCCCAGACUCCUACGGGAGGCAGCAGUGGGGAAUAUUGCACAAUGGGCGGAAGCCUGAUGCAGCAACGCCGCGUGCGGGAUGACGGCCUUCGGGUUGUAAACCGCUUUCGCCUGUGACGAAGCGUGAGUGACGGUAAUGGGUAAAGAAGCACCGGCUAACUACGUG